GNGAGGAUAUAGNCAAUGGGGGAACCCUGNUCUUGCCAUGCCGCGUGAGCGAUGAAGGCCUUAGGGUUGUAAAGCUCUUUCGCCAGGGAUGAUAAUGACAGUACCUGGUAAAGAAGCCCCGGCUAACUCCGUGCCAGCAGCCGCGGUAAUACGGAGGGGGCUAGCGUUGUUCGGAAUUACUGGGCGUAAAGCGCACGUAGGCNGGACAGGAAAGUUGGGGGUGAAAUCCCGGGGCUCAACUCCGGAACUGCCUCCAAAACUAUCUGUCUAGGGUCCGAGAGAGGUGAGUGGAAUUCCGAGUGUAGAGGUGAAAUUCGUAGAUAUUCGGAAGAACACCGGUGGCGAAGGCGGCUCACUGGCUCGGUACUGACGCUGAGGUGCGAAAGCGUGGGUAGCAAACAGGAUUAGAUACCCUGGUAUUCCACGCCGUAAACGUUGAAUGCCAGACGUCGGGCAGCAUGCUGUUCGGUGUCACACCUAACGGAUUAAGCAUUCCGCCUGGGGAGUACNGCCGCAAGGUUAAAACUCAAAGGAAUUGACGGGGNCCCNCACAAGCGGNGGAGCAUGUGGUUUAAUUCNAANCANCNCNUNAACCUUACCANCCCUUGACNUNCUGNNCNNGGNUUCCCNANAGGGAAUCCUNCANUU
RNAcentral lists this ribosomal RNA (648 nucleotides) under uncultured Alphaproteobacteria bacterium. RNAcentral's name for it is "partial 16S ribosomal RNA". It matches the Rfam family "Bacterial small subunit ribosomal RNA", at positions 354 to 1021 of the family's 1533-position model. The record is from RNAcentral. Lineage: Bacteria; Pseudomonadati; Pseudomonadota; Alphaproteobacteria.